UUCUCUGACACUCUAAUAUUCUUACUAUGUGUCUAUUAAGAGGAUAAUAUUGGCAACAGUGGAGGAUUUUUUAAUGAAAUAACGUAUGUAUUCAUGGCAUAUUUUUGCCUUUGGUGUACCCAAAGAAGACUGCUUCUAUUCUUGAGUUUAUUCAAAGAUAUGUCGGGGCAGUAACACUGAAGAAAAGAAAAUUCGACAUGAGACCAACCCGAAGGAGAUUGCUGAAGAAAAUAUGCGACCUCUAAAAUAUGCGAACUCACUGUAUAUAAUUUCGAAUACACUGUGUAACAAAAAAGCUCACAGUUUUUUACCUAGUUUCCCUGUUAUCUUACAUUGAGGAAAUCACAUUUUUUUCUUUUUAAAGUUUGAUUUCGUGAAAAUGGGAGAUUUCCCUAAAAUCGUUUUUUUUUUGUAGAAAAUUGUAUGAAAACUUUCAUUGUAAUAGUCUGGUGCGAUUGCUCUCUAGGGUUUUGAUAUUUCAUAGUUAUAUUCCUUGUAUUCUAUGUAAGACAUCUUGAAUUUAAAAAAACUCAAAAUCGAUCAAACAAGUUGUAUUUCUCUAGAUUUUUAACUAUAGUCCAAGUAGAUUUCACAAUUAAGUCCUCAUAAUGCAGUCACCCAUCCUUCGCUGAUAGUACUGUCAUUGGUAACGUACGUUAACGUAUUCAAUAUGCAUAUUAAAUUUGUGAACGUUCAUUAUCAAUGGCGGUACAAUGAGCGAGAAAUGGGUGACUAUGUAUAAUAGUACCUAAAUCGACUUGUUGGAAAUCUAGUAGAAAAAAAACAUAUUUGAAAAAACAUAAUUUUCUUUUAGCUUGCCAAAACGUUAUUCAACAUAAUUUGGUAUUAAAUUGUUAAGGAAUACGGCUCUGGAGUAUCAAAACACUAGAAAAUCGCUCCAGACUAUAUUGAAAUGACAAUUUUUGGCUGUUUUUUGUUGAAAUUUUCCACGAAAACCUGAUUUUGGGAAACCCCCUUAAUUUUCAAAAUCAAACUUGAAUAAUAUAAUGUACUGUUCUUCAGAUUUGGACCGUAAUCAAUUGGAAGCCGAAAACAAUAUAUUUUGGGGGGGGGGGAUGGGGGUCAAAUAUUAGAAUUUCUAGCUUGAGUUCAUGGUCGUAUUUGGAAAUUGUCUUAAGUCUUGGCGCAUGCUGAGAAAUUUGUUAUUUCGAUGACAUAUAUAGUUAUGAAAAAUAUGCCUAAAAAUCACCAAAAAACAUAUUGAAAGUUUUGGGGUCGUUACCACACCCCCUGUCUGUGCCUGUGAUUUUUAUGUUUAAUUUUUUGGUGAUUCGUUUUUGAGAAUAAACUUCUCUAAGUUUG
Molecule: long non-coding RNA, 1323 nt
Organism: Styela clava
Lineage: Eukaryota; Metazoa; Chordata; Ascidiacea; Stolidobranchia; Styelidae
Source: RefSeq, a predicted model, not a curated record